AGCCAGACUCCUACGGGAGGCAGCAGUGGGGAAUAUUGCACAAUGGGGGAAACCCUGAUGCAGCGACGCCGCGUGAGUGAAGAAGUAUUUCGGUAUGUAAAGCUCUAUCAGCAGGGAAGAAAAUGACGGUACCUGACUAAGAAGCCCCGGCUAACUACGUGCCAGCAGCCGCGGUAAUACGUAGGGGGCAAGCGUUAUCCGGAUUUACUGGGUGUAAAGGGAGCGUAGACGGCAUGGCAAGUCAGAUGUGAAAGCCCGGGGCUCAACCCCGGGACUGCAUUUGAAACUGUCAGGCUGGAGUGCAGGAGAGGUAAGUGGAAUUCCUAGUGUAGCGGUGAAAUGCGUAGAUAUUAGGAGGAACACCAGUGGCGAAGGCGGCUUACUGGACUGUAACUGACGUUGAGGCUCGAAAGCGUGGGGAGCAAACAGGAUUAGAUACCCUGGUACGC
This 449-nucleotide ribosomal RNA is filed under the name uncultured bacterium. Its description in RNAcentral is "bacterial SSU rRNA". It matches the Rfam family "Bacterial small subunit ribosomal RNA", at positions 329 to 794 of the family's 1533-position model. The record is from RNAcentral.